CAUCAAUUUGUUGCGAUCAAUUUGGAGGCGCCGCAUUGCAUCCACAGUCUCCAAACUUAAAUUAGGAACGCCUCGAAUAUACGUAGUUGUUAGACGAGGGAAUAUAGGGAGGGAUGUGAUUGUGAAGCUUCUUCCUUCUGAUUCUUCUUCUCCCCACCUAUAUGAUAUUUCUCUCAAAUUCGGGCACUCUUUUAUAUACAACUUCGAGAGAGUCUCGCUGUUACUCAAUAACCAAUCAGCUGGCAGACAUUCCACACCGAUCUUCUCAAUCCUCAAUUCUUCAAGGCAUGACGAGACAUGACUUGGAACACUCAUCAAUUGCUCGCAAUCAUUAAUAUCCAAAUGUUGGAGGCGAGGAAAUAGCUUCACUUCACUUCCAUCCGAAAUUUCUAUUUCUGCCCACUCUGCCAGCUUAGGCAUUGAAGACAAUUCAAACCUCUCGAGAGCUGGGAAAACAAUGCUUGUGUCCUUGUUCACCAUUCCAUAGAAUGAUGAAUUUAUACACUUCACAUUGCUCAAUCCCCCCAAAUCAAGGGACUUGAGAUUGGGCAAGUGCCCCAACAUUGGCAUCUCUUCACAUUCUCUGCAGUACUUGAGUGAUAACGACAUUAACUUGUUAAGUAGCAGCCAAGAGCCUUGAGGCGCAUCCCGAACUGCCAUCUUCUGAGUCCAUGAUGGAAAUCUUUUGCCGUUGAAUCCAUCAAUCUCUAACUCCCUCAGAUCUGAGUGAGGUUGAAGGCCUUCCAAUACAUCCUCAUCAUUUCCAAUGUCAUCACCCCAUUUCAAACACAGCUCCAAUAUUUUUGACUUUUUGAAUAAAUUGGCUUUCCCAGCCUCAUCCUUGUCAUGAACCCUUUCCAGAUUGCCAAUCCAUAGCUUUCCUUUAAGAUUAUUCAAACUUCCGAGCUCUUCAAUUUUGCAGCCAUUCUCGUCGCCCACUGGAAAGUGCGUUAGCGUUUGGAGAGAAGUUAAUCUCCCAAUUCCCAUAGGCAACUCUACAUCCUCAUUAAUAUAAAGAUGCCUCAAGUUAAUCAAGUACUUAAUCGUACUGGGCAGUUUUCUCUCAAUUCUUCUCACAAUUCUCCAAUACAAACCUUGUGUGUCUACUCUCAACGUCUGCAAGUGAAAGAAUUCACCAAUCCAAUCCGGCAAAUCUUUAAUACUUGUCUUUGAAAUGUCAAAAUCUCUCAAAUGUAUCAACUUUUUAAUCGAACUUGGCAGCUCUUUUAUAACUAUAGAGUCAACACGUAAAACAUGCAAACUUUCCAAGUCUGAGAAGUUGAUAUCAGAAAUAUCACCUUCCGAUGUUAUUAGUAAUGUACGCAAAGACUUUGCCAUUUCUUUUGGGAUACGACUUGAUUCGUCUCCAUAAUAGUUGUCUCCGAGAAUCAUGUAUCGAACUCGGCUGCUACCACCUGUACUGUUAGAGGAGCUUGAAACAGAACAAGCGAGAUCGUGCACAAGAUCAUGCAUGCCACAACUUUCUACAUUUCCAAAACGAUCUCUCUUUGAAACUUGCAGUAAAGAGUUGUGAAGAAGAAGGUUGAUAAAUUUUUCGCCCAUGGACUCCAUGUCAUCCCUUUCAUCAGCUGGAAGAAAACCUUCUGCCAUCCAAAACUCAAUCAGUUCUUGUAUAAUGAUUUUGGAGCCUUUAGGAAACAUGGCACAGUAAGCAAAGCACUUCUUAAGUAAUGGCAGAGACAAAUUAUCAAAGCUCAAUCUUAAUAUUUUUGUGAUAUUAUCUCCACCUUCAUUUGGUGCAAGCCAUUUCUCCUCGAUUGAACGCCAUUUCUCCUCAGAUUGAUUGCUCAGUAUUCCCCCAACUACGUUGGCAGCUAAUGGCAAACCCUGAAAUCUUCUUGCAAUCUUUCUCCCAAUGUCCUCAAAUUCCGACGGAACAUCUUCUUUUCUGAAUGCUUUUGCUCUAAUUAUUAACCAACACUCUUCAUCGGAUAAGCCUUUCAACUCAUGUACAUGAAGUGGAUUCACAAUUGAAGCAACCUUCAUACUUCUGGUGGUGACAACAAUUGCAUUUCCCUUAACAGAACUAACUCCCAACAAGGAAUUGAUAAAAUCUUCCCAUUUCGAAAGAUCUUCAUUCCAUACAUCAUCAAGAAUAAGAAGAUAUGUUUUAUCUUUCAAAGUUUUUUGAAGUUUUGAAAGAAUAUCUUGCUUACUCUCAACUUCAACUCCAUCAGAAGAAAACUCUCUGAGAAUUUUCUUGAAAAGAAUGAUUGGAUCAAAAUUAGGAGAAACAUGCACCCAAAUAUGUGAUCCAAAUCGAGUCUCAUUCUUUAGACGAUUGAAGACUCUCCUAGUCAACAGGGCCGUCUCUGAGGGCGGGCCAGCAUGGGCGACCGCCCAGGGCCCAUCAUUUUUGGGGGCCCAAAAUUUUUUAUAUUCUCUUAUAUAUACUAUUAUUAUUAUUGGCCUAACUUUCUUCUUGUGUAUACUAUUACCAUUGAAUAAAAAAAAAUGAGGCCAAAAAAAUUUCAUCCUGAAUAAUUUUGGGGCCCCCAAAAAUUAUAAGGUCUAAUAUCAUUUUUUGUGUAUACUAUGCGCAUUGACUCUAUCAUGAAACAAUUAGAAGGUCUAAUAUCUAAUACAAGUUUGACUAUUGCUAAGAGUUUUGCAUCUAAUAUGAAUAUGGAGCCAAUAUUUUUAAUAAAAUGUCAUUUAGAAUUUGAAUAUUUUGUAGUUGUUGUGGACAUAACGAUUACUUCUUUAAAAUGUAGAUUUAAAGAAAUGAAAUCAUUUGAUCAUAUAUUUGGUUUUCAUUUGAUUCGAAAACUUUAAAAUUUUUGGAUAGUGAAAAAUUAAGACAUUAAUGUGUUAAUUUUAAAUCUACUUUUACUCAUUAUAUGAGUUAGAUGAUUUAUUUAUUGAAUUAAAAAUAUUACAAAUGAAAUUAUCAAAUAAAAUAACUUCAACUAUUGAAAUUCUUGAAUUUAUGAAAAUUACAGAUUGUUAUCCAAAUGUUGCAAUAUUGUUAACUAUGUCUGUAACAGUAGCUUCGGCUGAGAAGAGUUUAUGGAAGUUAAAAUUAUUGAAGACAUAUUUAAAAACGUCGAUAUGGCAAAAAAGAUUAAAUAGUUUAGCAAUUUUUUGUAUUAAAAAAUAUAUCUUAAAAAAUAUUGAAACAAAUGUUCUUAUAGAUGACUUUGCAAGUAAAAAAGGCGAGAAUAAGUCAUUUUUUUUAUAAUUAUUAAUAUACUUUUUACUGAAAUAUUAUAAUAUGACUUUAAAAAAAGUGUUUUUUUGUGUUGUUAUGAUGGUGAAUAGAGGGCCCAUUUUUAUCGUUUCGCCCUGGGCCCAUUUUUCGUCAGAAACGGCCCUGCUAGUCAAUGUCGUCUUCCCCAAUCCCCCCAUCCCGACAAUGGAAAUGAUGGAAACUGCGUGUUUAUCAGUUGUGAUGCUAUUGGUAAUCAUCUCAACUAUUUCCGACUCAACAUUAUCUCUUCCAAUAAAAAUUGGAUCAAGAGUGUAUGAAUCAGUUUCCAAAGCAGCAAUAACCAAAGCAGGCUCAUUAGCAAGCUUCUCUACGAGGCCAAGCUUGGCGGCCUCUUUGUUAAUGAACUCCAAAUUCUCAUUGAUUUCUUUGAUUUUAAGAGCCAUAUUUCGAGAACGUGAAAUAUGCUUGAAGCAUGAGAAGCAUGAUGGUACCUUUUCCUCCUCGGGCUCAGUGGGCUUGAUUUGUUUGGAGAGAAGAUNUUCCGUAGAAUGAAUAAUUUAUACACUUCAAAUUCAACCAAUGAUACAACACAAGGGACUUGAGAUUGGGCAAGUGCCCAACAUUGGAACACUCGUCAAUUGCGGGCAAUCAUGAAUUUCCAAAUGUUGGAGGCGAGGAAAUAGCUUCACUUCACUUCCAUCCGAAAUUUCUAUUUCUGGCCACUCUGCCAGCUUAAGCAUGUACCACAAUAUGAGCACUUCGAGAGCUGGAAAAGCAAUGCCUGACUCCUUGUUCACCAUUCCGUAGAAUGAUGAAUUUAUACACUUCACAGUUAAACAAUCCCACAACUCAAGGGACUUGAGAUUUGGCAAGUGCCCCAACAUUGGGAUCUCUUCACAUUCUUCACAGUCAAUGAGUGAUAACGAGAUUAACUUGUUAAGUAGCACCCAAGAGCCUUGAGGCGCAUCUCCAACUGACAUCUUCUCAGUCCAUAAUGGAAAUCUUUUUCCAUUGAAUCGCUCGAUCUCUAACUCCCUCAGAUCUGAGUGAGGUUGAAGGCCUUCCAAUACACUCUCAUCAUUUCUUUCACCAUCUCUGUUCCAACCCCAUUCCAAACACAAGUUCAAUAUUUUAGACUUUUUGAAUAAAUUGGCUUUCCCAGCCUCUUCCUUGUCAUGAACCCUUUCCAGAUUCCGAAUCUGCAACUCUCCUUUAAGAUUAUUCAAACUUCCGAGCUCUUCAAUUUUGCAGCCAUUCUCGUCGCCCACUGGAAAGCGCGUUAGCGUUUGGAGAGAAGUUAAUCUCCCAAUUCCCAUAGGCAACUCUACAUGCUCACUAAUAUAAAGAUGCCUCAAGUUAAUCAAGUACUUAAUCGUACUUGGCAGUUUUCCCAUAUAUCCUAAAGGUAGUCUCAACGUCUGCAAGUGAAAGAAUUCACCAAUCCAAUCCGGCAAAACUUCAAUUCUUGUAUCUGAAAUGUCAAAAUCUCUCAAAUGUAUCAACUUCUGAAUCGAACUUGGCAGCACUUUAACUCCAUAACCUUGAAGACGUAAAACAUGAAGACUUUCCAAGUCUGAAAAGUUCAUAUCAGAACCACCAUAAUAGAUUGAUGAUAUUAAUAAUGUACGCAAAGAUUUUACCAUUUCUUUUGGAAUUGGACUUGAUUUGUCUCCACAAUAAUUGUCUUCUUCGCGAAUCAUGUAUCGAACUCGACUGUUACCACAGUUAGAGGAACUUGAAACAGAACAAGCGAGAUCAUGCACAAGAUCGUGCAUGCCACAACUUUCUACAUUUCCGUCAUCAUCUCUUUCUGAAACUUGCAGUAAAGAGUUGUGCAGAAGAACGUUGAUAAAUUUUUCACCC
Molecule: long non-coding RNA, 5035 nt
Filed under: Salvia miltiorrhiza (redroot sage)
Lineage: Eukaryota; Viridiplantae; Streptophyta; Magnoliopsida; Lamiales; Lamiaceae
Description: long non-coding RNA (SMIL_LNC005495)
Source: RNAcentral